This 201-nucleotide ribosomal RNA is filed under the name Triticum aestivum (bread wheat). RNAcentral describes it as "partial small subunit ribosomal RNA". The record is from RNAcentral. Lineage: Eukaryota; Viridiplantae; Streptophyta; Magnoliopsida; Poales; Poaceae.
GUUCAGGGGCGUUUCUUCUGGGCCGGUGAGGGCGAUGAGCAGAAGUACCACAUGGUUAGGUGGUCAGAGAUCUGCAAGCCUCGCGACCAGGGCGGACUCGGGAUCAUGUCAUCCAAACGCAUGAACAUUGCCCUCCUGACUCGGUGGCUUUGGCAGAUUGCCAACGGAGAUGGUGGCUUGUGGCUUCACAUCAUUCAGUAG